Molecule: ribosomal RNA, 254 nt
Filed under: uncultured prokaryote
Description: partial 16S ribosomal RNA
Rfam family: Bacterial small subunit ribosomal RNA
Source: RNAcentral
UACGUAGGGUCCAAGCGUUAUCCGGAAUUACUGGGCGUAAAGAGUUGCGUAGGUGGUAAGUUAAGCGAGUAGUGAAAUGACGCGGCUCAACCGUGUGUCCAUUACUUGAACUGGCUAACUAGAGGAUGAGAGAGGUUAUUGGAAUUCCUGAUGUAGGGGUAAAAUCCGUUGAUAUUAGGAGGAACACCGAUGGCGUAGGCAGAUAACUGGCUCAUUCCUGACACUCAGGCACGAAAGCGUGGGGAGCAAACAGG